GCCUCUGUAGUCUAAUUGUUAGGACACUUGCGCGUAAAGCAAGGUAUUCGGGUUCGACUCCCGGCCGAGGUA
Non-coding RNA from Cyphomyrmex costatus, 72 nucleotides. The record is from Rfam. Lineage: Eukaryota; Metazoa; Arthropoda; Insecta; Hymenoptera; Formicidae.